RNAcentral lists this ribosomal RNA (473 nucleotides) under uncultured bacterium. RNAcentral describes it as "bacterial SSU rRNA". It matches the Rfam family "Bacterial small subunit ribosomal RNA", at positions 48 to 516 of the family's 1533-position model. The record is from RNAcentral.
UUUACACAUGCAAGUCGAACGGUAACAGGGUGCUUGCNCCGCUGACGAGUGGCGAACGGGUGAGUAAUGCGUCGGAACGUGCCUAGUAGUGGGGGAUAACUCAUCGAAAGUUGUGCUAAUACCGCAUACGUACUGAGGUAGAAAGUGGGGGACCUUCGGGCCUCGCGCUAUUCGAGCGGCCGACGUCUGAUUAGCUAGUAGGUGAGGUAAAGGCUCACCUAGGCGACGAUCAGUAGCGGGUCUGAGAGGAUGAUCCGCCACACUGGGACUGAGACACGGCCCAGACUCCUACGGGAGGCAGCAGUGGGGAAUUUUGGACAAUGGGCGAAAGCCUGAUCCAGCCAUGCCGCGUGUCUGAAGAAGGCCUUCGGGUUGUAAAGGACUUUUGUCAGGGAGGAAAUCCCUAGCGNUAAUACCGCUGGGGGAUGACAGUACCUGAAGAAUAAGCACCGGCUAACUACGUGCCAGCAGCC